UACGUAGGGGGCAAGCGUUGUCCGGAUUUAUUGGGCGUAAAGAGCGUGUAGGCGGCCAGAUAGGUCCGUUGUGAAAACUGGAGGCUUAACCUCCAGCUGUCGAUGGAAACCAUCUGGCUAGAGUCCGGAAGAGGAGAGUGGAAUUCCUGGUGUAGCGGUGAAAUGCGCAGAUAUCAGGAAGAACACCCGUGGCGAAGGCGGCUCUCUGGGACGGUACUGACGCUGAGGUGCGAAAGCGUGGGGAGCAAACAGG
RNAcentral lists this ribosomal RNA (253 nucleotides) under uncultured bacterium. Its description in RNAcentral is "partial 16S ribosomal RNA". It matches the Rfam family "Bacterial small subunit ribosomal RNA", at positions 524 to 776 of the family's 1533-position model. The record is from RNAcentral.